This 433-nucleotide ribosomal RNA is filed under the name uncultured bacterium. RNAcentral describes it as "partial 16S ribosomal RNA". It matches the Rfam family "Bacterial small subunit ribosomal RNA", at positions 29 to 507 of the family's 1533-position model. The record is from RNAcentral.
AGCGAACGCUGGCGGCAGGCCUAACACAUGCAAGUCGAACGGAUCCUUCGGGAUUAGUGGCGGACGGGUGAGUAACACGUGGGAACGUGCCCUUUGGUUCGGAACAACUCAGGGAAACUUGAGCUAAUACCGGAUGUGCCCUUCGGGGGAAAGAUUUAUCGCCAUUGGAGCGGCCCGCGUCUGCUUAGCUAGUUGGUGAGGUAACGGCCCACCAAGGCGACGAUCAGUAGCUGGUCUGAGAGGAUGAGCAGCCACACUGGGACUGAGACACGGCCCAGACUCCUACGGGAGGCAGCAGUGGGGAAUCUUGCGCAAUGGGCGAAAGCCUGACGCAGCCAUGCCGCGUGAAUGAUGAAGGUCUUAGGAUUGUAAAAUUCUUUCAGCGGGGACGAUAAUGACGUUACCCGCAGAAGAAGCUCCGGCUAACUUCGUG